UAAGGAAUAUUGCGCAAUGGGGGAAACCCUGACGCAGCAACGCCGCGUGGAGGAUGACACUUUUCGGAGCGUAAACUCCUUUUAUCAGGAAAGAAUAAUGACGGUACCUGAUGAAUAAGCACCGGCUAACUCCGUGCCAGCAGCCGCGGUAAUACGGGGGGUGCAAGCGUUACUCGGAAUCACUGGGCGUAAAGGACGCGUAGGCGGAUUAUCAAGUCUUUUGUGAAAUCUAGUGGCUUAACCACUAAACUGCUUAGGAAACUGAUAGUCUAGAGUAGGGGAGAGGUAGAUGGAAUUCUUGGUGUAGGGGUAAAAUCCGUAGAGAUCAAGAAGAAUACCCAUUGCGAAAGCGAUCUGCUGGAACCUAACUGACACUGAGGCGUGAAAGCGUGGGUAGCAAACAGG
RNAcentral lists this ribosomal RNA (405 nucleotides) under bacterium. RNAcentral's name for it is "partial 16S ribosomal RNA". It matches the Rfam family "Bacterial small subunit ribosomal RNA", at positions 355 to 776 of the family's 1533-position model. The record is from RNAcentral.